This 240-nucleotide long non-coding RNA is filed under the name Lathyrus oleraceus (garden pea). RNAcentral's name for it is "Pisum sativum (pea) long non-coding RNA (PSAT_LNC033975)". Lineage: Eukaryota; Viridiplantae; Streptophyta; Magnoliopsida; Fabales; Fabaceae. The record is from RNAcentral.
ACAACUUGACUUCUUCUUUCACCAAUCCAAGGAGCACAUCAUGACUUUACACAAAUCUUCAGAACCAAAACCCCUUAUGGUCGAUCUCGAGGCGGUGUGAAGAUGUGAAGCCGAAACCGAAACUAUUGAUUUCUCAUAAAAAAUAACAUUUACUUAAAAAAGAGAAUUAACAUGUUUAUUUGAUGGUUUUAAUUUGGUGGUAGAAAUGUUGAAUCAAUGGGUUUAAGGGUUGAAACGGAC